AGCUCCAUUAGCGUAUAUUAAAGUUGUUGCAGUUAAAAAGCUCGUAGUUGGAUUUCAGUACGGGCCAGUCGGUCGGCCGCAAGGCCUGCUACUGGCUGGUCUGUUCUUCUUCUCAAAGACUGCGUGUGCUCUUCGCUGAGUGUGCGUAGGAUUUGGGACGUUUACUUUGAAAAAAUUAGAGUGUUCAAGGCAGGCUUGUAAGCUUGAAUACAUGAGCAUGGAAUAAUGGAAUAGGACUACGGUCCCUAUUUCGUUGGUUUCGAGGACCGAAGUAAUGAUUAAGAGGGACAGUUGGGGGCAUCCGUAUUUCGUUGUCAGAGGUGAAAUUCUUGGAUUUACGAAAGACGAACGACUGCGAAAGCAUUUGCCAAGGAUGUUUUCAUUAAUCAAGAACGAAAGU
Molecule: ribosomal RNA, 400 nt
Filed under: phytoplankton environmental sample
Lineage: Eukaryota
Description: partial small subunit ribosomal RNA
Rfam family: Eukaryotic small subunit ribosomal RNA
Source: RNAcentral